Molecule: unclassified non-coding RNA, 273 nt
Filed under: Hevea brasiliensis (rubber tree)
Lineage: Eukaryota; Viridiplantae; Streptophyta; Magnoliopsida; Malpighiales; Euphorbiaceae
Source: RNAcentral
GCAAUUUUCGUAACCGUGCCUUACGAGAACAGUCAUGUAAUUCCAUCAAAAUAAUUGCUGGAGCUUUUGGAUAUGGAGCCACAAGCUGCUGGCAGCCCUCAAUCACAAGUUUUGCUAAAGAGGGAAGGUGAGAGGGUAAGGCUUUUGUCAAGAUAAAACAUUCCUUUAUGCAAAGCUCUCGGAGACGAGGAAAAGCUCCUGCACAAGGAAUCCACUCAUGCCAUUGUGGCAUGAGCAUAAUCCCUAACCUUUCAAGGGAUCGAAAUGGCUUCU